This 29-nucleotide non-coding RNA is filed under the name Bombyx mori (domestic silkworm). The record is from RNAcentral. Lineage: Eukaryota; Metazoa; Arthropoda; Insecta; Lepidoptera; Bombycidae.
UGAAGUCGAUUACGGCCCCGCACGGGGGG